AGCAGCCGCGGUAAUUCCAGCUCCAAUAGCGUAUAUUAAAGUUGUUGCAGUUAAAAAGCUCGUAGUUGAACUUCGGAAUUUGCCCAUUGGUCAGGCUUAACUGUCUGCACUGGUGUGACGAGUUCCUACCUUCUGAGGAAUCUCCAUGUCAUUCAGUUGGUGUGGGGGGAAAUCAGGACUGUUACUUUGAAAAAUUAGAGUGUUUAAAGCAGGCGUCCGUCUGAAUACAUUAGCAUGGAAUAAUAAAAUAGGACGGUUUGGUUCUAUUUUGUUGGUUUCUAGGAUCACCGUAAUGAUUAAUAGGGAUAGUUGGGGGCAUUAGUAUUCAAUUGUCAGAGGUGAAAUUCUUGGAUUUAUUGAAGACUAACUACUGCGAAAGCAUUUGCCAAGGAUGUUUUCAUUAAUCAAGAACGAAAGUUAGGGGAUCGAAGACGAUCAGAUACCGUCGUAGUCUUAACCAUAAA
This 464-nucleotide ribosomal RNA is filed under the name uncultured Diversispora. RNAcentral describes it as "SSU rRNA". It matches the Rfam family "Eukaryotic small subunit ribosomal RNA", at positions 569 to 1036 of the family's 1831-position model. The record is from RNAcentral. Lineage: Eukaryota; Fungi; Glomeromycota; Glomeromycetes; Diversisporales; Diversisporaceae.